GUUGUUUUGAAAACACAAUUGAUGCAGGAAAAUGGCCAGGGAAAAGUUUGAAGAACAACCCAACCUAAACCAAAAAAACACCCCAACACUCACCUUUUUUAAAGAAUUACCAAUAUCUCCUGCAGUAGGUAUAUCCAAGUUUGAGCAAUGGUCGGCUUCCGCACCUGAAAUAUUGGAUUAGUGAUGUUUUCAGAGCUGCGAGGUCAAACCCUGCCUCUGGAGCACUGUAUUUACUGCAACCGGCUGUACUCUACUGAGACACGUUUGCAUAGGAAGCAAUUCCAACUGCCUGCGAGCGAAGGGAGGAGUUUCACGGUACUUUUCACCGUCAAUCAAGCAGGUAAUACCCAGUAGGCAAAACUGGUUCAGAAUAUGUUAGUUUAACGUCUUUUUAAUACGUCUUGUUCUGGUCGCAAACUGGUUGAAAAUAUAUAAAAAAUGUUAUGUGACUUUUUUUCUGACUACCAUAUGACCAGAUGGUCAUAAUUUUUACCACUAUAUUAUGUGCUAUAUUAUGCCCUGGUCAUAGUUAAAUUCAUAGUUAAGAUCAUCAUGACCUGGUAAUGACCACCACCUGACUACAGUUUAUUACGUACUGUAAAAAGUAUUGCAGAGGACAAAGUUUGAUAUUGAAAACAUUGAUAAUUACAUUUCUAUUUGUUACCAUAGGCAUCAAUUCAAGUGUAAAUCUGCAACAUAUUCUUACAUUUAGAUAUAGAUAAAGCAAUGGCAAAAACAAAUCUACAUCACCAUUUUUUGCACAUCUGCAUACAGUAAUUGUUUCAAAAUUCACCCACAGACAUUACAUGUAUAGAGAGACUGGGACAGAAUAUAUAUAUAUAAUAUAAAAUCAAAAUGUAUCUGUCACAUGCGCUGAAUACAACAUGUGUAGACCUUACCGUGAAAUGCUUACUUACAAGCCCUUAACCAACAAUGCAGUUUUAAGAAAAUAUUUACUAAAUAAAGUGAAGUAAUAACACAAUAAAAUAACAAUAACGGGGCUAUAUAAAGCCAAUUGUUUUGUUGUACUAAUUAGAAUGGUGUGAUUGAGUAGAUCCUCAUCAAGGACCUCUGAGCACAGAAGGCGAUCUGGAGCAUAGUGGCCCUCUUGAAGAGUGGUGUCAUGGGUCAGAUCUGCAGUGAAGCGAAUCAGCGCAUUACAACUUCAUCAAUUUCAGAUUGUAAAAUAACUAGAAAAUGAUAUUCCUGACAAAACUUUGGACUUAGCUGGCUAAAAAUAUUUCCAUGGUACUAGUUAAAGAAGUUUGUGGCAGUUAUAGCUUAGAGAUGUCUUCAAAAAAAGAGCAACUUGCUCAUAUACAUAUUUUGUAUUCUCCUCCACCAUGGCGGUCAGAGGCCCGCAACACAUCAACCAAUCAAUGACACUUACAGUAAGCAAUAAAAUAAAUAAACAAUUGGCAUAAUGUGGGCAUGCAGGACAUGACAGAACAGUAACGCACAGUCAAAUAUUUGUAACAGAUUCUACAAAAAAUGUCUCACUGUCCAUGUCAAAGGUCACAACCCCCCACAUUAACUUACCAACUGCAAUGGAAUGUUUGGACCUCUGUGCCUUUAUAUUGAAGUGGGACAUUAAUUAAUUGAUCAUCAAUCUGAAACAUUUUAAGAAAGAGGAUAUAAAAAUUUGCCUAGUUGGAUAAUUAUAAUUUUAAUGUUUAAAGAGAAAAUCUAGAUACAAUAAAAUAUUAUAUUUUUCA
Non-coding RNA from Salmo salar (Atlantic salmon), 1715 nucleotides. Lineage: Eukaryota; Metazoa; Chordata; Actinopteri; Salmoniformes; Salmonidae. The record is from RefSeq and is a predicted model, not a curated record.